AAACCAUAAUGUGGACAACUCCUUAAUAAAUCCUUGAACCGUUCCUAACAAUCAUACAAAGUCUCAUUCUCCUCUUGAAGAAACCCUGCUAUAUCGUUCCUCAACUU
Molecule: non-coding RNA, 107 nt
Organism: Ricinus communis (castor bean)
Lineage: Eukaryota; Viridiplantae; Streptophyta; Magnoliopsida; Malpighiales; Euphorbiaceae
Source: Rfam